GGAUUCUUAGUUGUUUUCUUUAGAAGAACAUUUCUAGAGAAUAAUACAAGAAGAUUUAGGAAUCAUUGAAGUUAUAAACCUUUGGAAUGAGCAAACUCAGAAUGGUGCUACUUGAAGACUCUGGAUUUGCUGACUUCAGAAGACAUUUUGUCAACUUGAGUCCCUUCACCAUUGCUGUGGUCUUACUUCUCAGUGCCUGUUUUGUCACCAGUUCUCUUGGAGGAACAGACAAGGAGCUGAGGCUAGUGGAUGGUGAAAACAAGUGUAGUGGGAGAGUGGAAGUGAAAGUCCAGGAGGAGUGGGGAACGGUGUGUAAUAAUGGCUGGAGCAUGGAAGCAGUCUCUGUGAUUUGUAACCAGCUGGGAUGUCCAACUGCUAUCAAAGCCACUGGAUGGGCUAAUUCCAGUGCAGGUUCUGGACGUAUUUGGAUGGAUCAUGUUUCUUGUCGUGGGAAUGAGUCAGCUCUUUGGGACUGCAAACAUGAUGGAUGGGGAAAGCAUAGUAACUGUACUCACCAACAAGAUGCUGGAGUGACCUGCUCAGAUGGAUCCAAUUUGGAAAUGAGGCUGACGAAUGGAGGGAAUAUGUGUUCCGGAAGAAUAGAGAUCAAAUUCCAAGGACUGUGGGGAACAGUGUGUGAUGAUAACUUCAACAUAGAUCAUGCAUCUGUCGUUUGUAAACAACUUGAAUGUGGAAGUGCUGUCAGUUUCUCUGGUUCAUCUAAUUUUGGAGAAGGCUCUGGACCAAUCUGGUUUGAUGAUCUUAUAUGCAACGGAAAUGAGUCAGCUCUCUGGAACUGCAAACAUCAAGGAUGGGGAAAGCAUAACUGUGAUCAUGCUGAGGAUGCUGGAGUGAUUUGCUCAAAGGGAGCAGAUCUGAGCCUGAGACUGGUGGAUGGAGUCACUGAAUGUUCAGGAAGAUUAGAAGUGAGAUUCCAAGGAGAAUGGGGGACAAUAUGUGAUGACGGCUGGGACAGUUAUGAUGCUGCUGUGGCAUGCAAGCAACUGGGAUGUCCAACUACCGUCACCGCCAUUGGUCGAGUUAAUGCCAGUGAGGGAUUUGGACACAUCUGGCUUGACAGUGUUUCUUGCCAGGGACAUGAACCUGCUGUCUGGCAAUGUAAACACCAUGAAUGGGGAAAGCAUUAUUGCAAUCACAAUGAAGAUGCUGGCGUGACAUGUUCUGAUGGAUCAGAUCUGGAGCUAAGACUUAGAGGUGGAGGCAGCCGCUGUGCUGGGACAGUUGAGGUGGAGAUUCAGAGACUGUUAGGGAAGGUGUGUGACAGAGGCUGGGGACUGAAAGAAGCUGAUGUGGUUUGCAGGCAGCUGGGAUGUGGAUCUGCACUCAAAACAUCCUAUCAAGUGUACUCCAAAAUCCAGGCAACAAACACAUGGCUGUUUCUAAGUAGCUGUAACGGAAAUGAAACUUCUCUUUGGGACUGCAAGAACUGGCAAUGGGGUGGACUUACCUGUGAUCACUAUGAAGAAGCCAAAAUUACCUGCUCAGCCCACAGGGAACCCAGACUGGUUGGAGGGGACAUUCCCUGUUCUGGACGUGUUGAAGUGAAGCAUGGUGACACGUGGGGCUCCGUCUGUGAUUCGGACUUCUCUCUGGAAGCUGCCAGCGUUCUAUGCAGGGAAUUACAGUGUGGCACAGUUGUCUCUAUCCUGGGGGGAGCUCACUUUGGAGAGGGAAAUGGACAGAUCUGGGCUGAAGAAUUCCAGUGUGAGGGACAUGAGUCCCAUCUUUCACUCUGCCCGGUAGCACCCCGCCCAGAAGGAACUUGUAGCCACAGCAGGGAUGUUGGAGUAGUCUGCUCAAGAUACACGGAAAUUCGCUUGGUGAAUGGCAAGACCCCAUGUGAGGGCAGAGUGGAGCUCAAAACGCUUGGUGCCUGGGGAUCCCUCUGCAACUCUCACUGGGACAUAGAAGAUGCCCAUGUUCUUUGCCAGCAGCUUAAAUGUGGAGUUGCCCUUUCUACCCCAGGAGGAGCACAUUUUGGAAAAGGAAAUGGUCAGGUCUGGAGGCAUAUGUUUCACUGCACUGGGACUGAGCAGCACAUGGGAGAUUGUCCUGUAACUGCUCUAGGUGCUUCAUUAUGUCCUUCAGAGCAAGUGGCCUCUGUAAUCUGCUCAGGAAACCAGUCCCAAACACUGUCCUCAUGCAAUUCAUCAUCUUUGGGCCCAACAAGGCCUACCAUUCCAGAAGAAAGUGCUGUGGCCUGCAUAGGUAAGCCUCUGUGACAAAUCUAUGAAAAUAUUAAUAACAAGUGGAAUGCUCAUUAUUAAUAUUUUCAUUUCUCUUUGCAGAGAGUGGUCAACUUCGCCUGGUAAAUGGAGGAGGUCGCUGUGCUGGGAGAGUAGAGGUCUAUCAUGAGGGCUCCUGGGGCACCAUCUGUGAUGAUAGCUGGGACCUGAGUGAUGCCCACGUGGUUUGCAGACAGUUGGGCUGUGGAGAGGCCAUUAAUGCCACUGGUUCUGCUCAUUUUGGGGAAGGAACAGGGCCUAUCUGGCUGGAUGAGGUGAAAUGCAAUGGAAAAGAAUCCCGCAUUUGGCAGUGCCAUUCACAUGGCUGGGGGCAGCAAAAUUGCAGGCACAAGGAGGAUGCAGGAGUUAUCUGCUCGGAGUUUAUGUCUCUGAGACUGACCAGUGAAGCCAGCAAAGAGGCCUGUGCAGGGCGUCUGGAAGUUUUUUACAAUGGAACUUGGGGCAGUGUUGGCAGGAGUAGCAUGUCUGAAACCACUGUGGGUGUGGUGUGCAGGCAGCUGGGCUGUGCAGACAAAGGGAAAAUCAACCCUGCAUCUUUAGACAAGGCCAUGUCCAUUCCCAUGUGGGUGGACAAUGUUCAGUGUCCAAAAGGACCUGACAUGCUGUGGCAGUGCCCAUCAUCUCCAUGGGAGAAGAGACUGGCCAGCCCCUCGGAGGAGACCUGGAUCACAUGUGACAGAAAGAUAAAACUUCAAGAAGGACCCACUUCCUGUUCUGGACGUGUGGAGAUCUGGCAUGGAGGUUCCUGGGGGACAGUGUGUGAUGACUCUUGGGACUUGGACGAUGCUCAGGUGGUGUGUCAACAACUUGGCUGUGGUCCAGCUUUGAAAGCAUUCAAAGAAGCAGAGUUUGGUCCGGGGACUGGACCCAUAUGGCUCAAUGAAGUGAAGUGCAAAGGGAAUGAGUCUUCCUUGUGGGAUUGUCCUGCCAGACGCUGGGGCCACAGUGAUUGUGGGCACAAGGAAGACGCUGCAGUGAAUUGCACAGAUAUUCCAGUGCACAAAACGCCACAAAAAGCCACAACAGGUCGCUCAUCCCGUCAGUCAUCCCUUAUUGCAGUCGGGAUCCUUGGGGUUGUUCUGUUGGCCAUUUUUGUCGCAUUAUUCUUCUUGACUAAAAAGCGAAGACAGAGACAGCGGCUUGCAGUUUCCUCAAGAGGAGAGAACUUAGUCCACCAAAUUCAAUACCAGGAGAUGAAUUCUUGCCUGAAUGCAGAUGAUCUGGACCUAAUGAAUUCCUCAGGUCUGUGGGUUCUUGGAGGGUCUAUUGCCCAGGGGUUCAGAUCAGUGGCUGCAAUUGAGGCAUAGACAUUCUACUUUGAUAAACAGUUAAAAAAAUGUAAAAAUGUAAUAGGGAGCUUAGAUGCAUAUAAUGGACAAGAAUGACUGAAAAUUAUUGUUGGAGAAUAUCAAAAUUGCAAUCAUAGGGAGGCCUUUAGCUUAAGAGGCCUGUGAUUAUUCCUGAUAGAGGUACGUAAAGAACCAUGCAAAGGAAUAUUAUGACUUGGACCUCAUUUUAUUAAAGCAGAAAUUAAUCUUACAAAAGAUUGUCAUAAGUGACAGUUUAACUUUUUUCUUUAAAUUUUGUUGUGUAUAUUUAAGGUAUACAACAUGAUUUUAUGGGAUGUAUAUACAUAGUAAAAAGCUUACUAAAGCAAAGCAAAUUAACACAUCCGUCAUCUGACAUAGUUACCCUCUUUUGUGUUGUUUUUGUGGCAAGAGCAGCUAAAACCUACUCACUUAGCAUGAAUCCUAUAUACAGCACAAUUUUAUUACUUAUAAUCCUCAUGUUGUACAUUAGACCUCUAGACUGGUUCAUUCUAUGUAUCUGCUACUUUGUAUCCUCUGACCUACAUACGUCUUUCACAGUUUCUUCCAUUCCCAUUUCCUGUCAUUGUUUUCUCUAGCUUGAUAUUUAUUAUAUUUUUCCCUAAAAGUCUAAAACCUUAAACUUCCCAUAUCUUUAUUGCAUGAGAAGCCAUCAAAAUCCACAGGACUAGCCUUAUUUGUCAUCACAUCAUGCUGUUUUAUCCUUGAACUUCUAUUUAGCACCAGUGCACUAAUUUUGCCUCUGCGCAGGAUAACUUUACUGGGUUGGAAGAAAUAUCCCAAAACCCAUUGUCUUUACUCCACAAAGGGUCCCUGACCUUCUGAGAGGGGCCUGCCUCACUUCUUCCAUCCAAAGAAUUAUGCAUCUGCUACUGUGUCAGGGAACAUAUUUAAAGAACAUGUACUGUUACUGUGUCAGGAAACAUAUUUAAGAAAUAGGAAAGACUUUCUCUGCCCCUUAAAUCACACAUGCUUGUCUUCCUAGGUAUGGGUAGUGUUUUUAGUUGCUCAAAGAGCCUCACAGUUAUGUGAGGAGAGGUCUGGUUUAUUUCCCAGUAAUUAUUUUCUUCCUUUCAGAAAAUUCCCAUGAGUCAGCUGAUUUCAAUGCUGCUAAACUAAUUUCUGUGUCUAAAUUUCUUUCCUGUUUCUGGAAUGGAACAGGAGGCCAUUCUGAGGCACACUGAAAAGGAAAAUGGGAAUUUAUAACCCAGUGAGUUCAGCCUUGAUGAAGACCUGGACUAUUGAAUGGAGCAGAAAUUCACCUCUUUCACUGAUUAUUACAGUUGCAUUUUUAUGGAGUUCUUCUUCUCCUAGUAUUCCUAAGACUGCUGCUGAAUUUAUAAAAAUUAAGUUUGUGAAUGUGACUACUUAGUGGUGUAUAUGAGACUUUCAAGGGAAUUAAAUAAAUAAAUAAAUAAAUAAAUAAGAAUGUUAUUGAUUUGAGUUUGCUUUAAUUACUUGUCCUUAAUUCUAUUAAUUUCUAAAUGGGCUUCCUAAUUUUUUGUAGAGUUUCCUAGAUGUAUUAUAAUGUGUUUUAUUUGACAGUGUUUCAAUUUGCAUAUACAGUACUGUAUAUUUUUUCUUAUUUGGUUUGAAUAAUUUUCCUAUUACCAAAUAAAAAUAAAUUUAUUUUUACUUUAGUUUUUCUAAGACAGGAAAAAUUAAUGAUAUUGAAGGGUCUGUAAAUAAUAUAUGGCUAACUUUAUAAGGCGUGACUCACAAUGAUUCUUUAACUGCUUUUUGUUACUGUAAUUCUGUUCACUGGAAUAAAAUGCAUAGCCACACCUGGUAAGGGCAC
Molecule: small RNA, 5393 nt
Filed under: Pongo abelii (Sumatran orangutan)
Lineage: Eukaryota; Metazoa; Chordata; Mammalia; Primates; Hominidae
Description: retained intron
Source: RNAcentral